AUAGUUAUAGUUCAGUGGUAGAGCGCAUGCUUAGCAUGCACAAGGUCCUGGGUUCAAUCCUCAGUAUCUUCA
Molecule: transfer RNA, 72 nt
Organism: Camelus ferus (Wild Bactrian camel)
Lineage: Eukaryota; Metazoa; Chordata; Mammalia; Artiodactyla; Camelidae
Rfam family: tRNA
About the family: Transfer RNA (tRNA) molecules are approximately 80 nucleotides in length.
Source: Rfam